GCGGAGGUGGGGGGGGGAGAGGACGGCGGAACGACAGCGGCCCCGGCCAAUCGCCGCGCAGCACCGGCGGAGCGGCGGCCAAUGGGGCGAAGGCGCUCGAGGCCGACCGCGGCGAUCAGGUGAUCGCGAGUGGCCAAUGGGCGCCCCAGGGGGGCGGGGUGCCGCGUGCGCGCCGGUUGCGCCGCGAGUGGGGGACGCGAAACAGCGGGAUGCGAAUGGAAAGGUGUGGAAUAAAGGGAUUGAGAGAUGGCGGAUAGAGAGCUUUAUAUACGGAGCAUGAGCAUUUCAUAGUGUGGAGUAUUAUCAACACUGUUUUCAGAACAAAUCCAGAACACGGCUCCAUGGUAGCUAAAGAAAAUUAACUCCACCCCAGCCAAAACCAGCACAUAAAGAUACCAGCGCAGUGUUACACUGAAGACACAAAAACCCAUCCCCGGUGUCUGGAAAAUACCCAACCUGAUACAAUGAAGAAGUAAAUGUAUCAAAUGUUACCUAAGUUGUGAAAAAGUCUUGGAUAAUAAGCUGCUUAACAUAAGAGAAAUGUACUAACUGAAGAACAUAGUGAAAGUUUGUAGACAGUGCUGCAAGCCCCCAGCACAGGAGAGUGAGAAGAGACACAUUUGAACAUUUCUGCUUGUUCCAUUUUGGAGACACUGCUGAAAGACUACAUGAAUAUAAGAAAAAAUGUGUUCAUAAGUAGGUUUUGGAA
Molecule: long non-coding RNA, 709 nt
Organism: Pipra filicauda (Wire-tailed manakin)
Lineage: Eukaryota; Metazoa; Chordata; Aves; Passeriformes; Pipridae
Exons: 3
Source: RefSeq, a predicted model, not a curated record